Molecule: ribosomal RNA, 332 nt
Filed under: uncultured eukaryote
Lineage: Eukaryota
Description: partial 18S ribosomal RNA
Rfam family: Eukaryotic small subunit ribosomal RNA
Source: RNAcentral
CCCUUAGAUGUUCUGGGCUGCACACGUGCUACACUGGCAUGUUCAGCGAGCUUCAUGCCCUGAUCUGAAAGGAAUGGGAAAUCUUUUCAAAACCUGCCGUGCUUGGGAUAGAUGUUUGCAAUUAUUCAUCUUCAACGAGGAUUGCCUUGUAAGCGCACGUCAUCAGCGUGCAUUGAAUACGACCCUGUAUUCUGUACACACCGCCCGUCGCUCCUACCGAUUGAAGUUUUCGGUGAGUUGACAGGAGGAUUUUUUUGAAACUGGUUCGCCAGUGGAUUUUAGAUCCAAAUGCCAACGAAUCGAUGGCUUUAGAGGAAGGAGAAGUCGUAACA